CAGUAGCCACGGGAAUACGGAGGGGGCUAGCGUUGCUCGGAAUUACUGGGCGUAAAGCGCACGUAGGCGGCUUGGUAAGUUAGAGGUGAAAGCCUGGAGCUCAACUCCAGAAUUGCCUUUAAGACUGCCGAGCUAGCAGGUGAGAGAGGUAAGUGGAAUUCCGAGUGUAGAGGUGAAAUUCGUAGAUAUUCGGAAGAACACCAGUGGCGAAGGCGGCUUACUGGCUCAUACUGGACGCUGAGGUGCGAAAGCGUGGGGAGCAAACAGGAUUAGAUACCCCGGUAGUCCCUGUCUCUUAUAC
RNAcentral lists this ribosomal RNA (301 nucleotides) under uncultured bacterium. RNAcentral's name for it is "partial 16S ribosomal RNA". It matches the Rfam family "Bacterial small subunit ribosomal RNA", at positions 509 to 807 of the family's 1533-position model. The record is from RNAcentral.